AUUCAGACCGCACGAACGAGUGAUUUGGUCCUGGUCCCCCAGCUCGCGUCGCCCACGCAACGUUUAUUAUACCGAAAGACAAUCGCGUAUCGGAUCCUGGCAGGAGUGCAGGAUAAAAUUUCGGCUGAAACGAAGGGCGUCCUGCGGAAUAAUUCGCAAAACCCCAUUUCUGGGCGAAAUUCUCAGGCAAUCCAAGUCUGCCGUUCCAACGGAAAAACCGUUUCGCAACCCUGGUCUGGUGGUUCUGUAUACGAAGAGAAAGAGGAACAAGGAGGGAGGGUUGAAAGACUAGAGAAGUUCGUUGGAAGGGGAGACGAACCGGCGUCGGUUUCAACCUUAUUUUGACGGUACGGAUCCGGAGAACCAACCACCCCCCAACCCCCACUACUGUAUGGUUUUUGGCGCUACCAUCGUCGGCGUAAACGUCGACGCGAACGUCAACGGGAACGCCAACGUUAAAGAAGUAGGCGAUCCCUAGUGUUCGCGCAAAUCGUCACCGGAGUAUGGUGCUCCGGGUUGUGGCCAUGCCGUGUCGAUCGUCGCGCGGUCGGCCCAGCUUUGACAAAAUCAACCCCACGUAGCGAACACGACGAUACAUAUAUCAGACGAAAAAGAAAAAAGAAAGAGUUAAAAAGGGGAAAAAGAGAAAAAAAAAAAAAAACUGUGCAGUUCUAUCCAGUGGAGAGAAAAGUAAAAUAAUUUCGUGAUCCGCGUUAACAAACCACCCCAAGUAAAACCAAUGCUGAAAAAGAAAACUAAGGGUUUGUUGAAAAAAAAAGAACUAGAUAAGAAAUGAAACUAGAACUCUGUGUGCUCGACAAGCGUCACCAUAAUUCUAAUAGUGAAAAACCACUUCAGACUGAUAAUAAAUAGUGUACAGAUCGUGUUAGCCUCCGUUUCUUCGAUACAGUAAUUAUGGGUGUGGAUUUCGGUUGAGGGUUGAUAUUCAGACGUUGGUAUCAGAAUUUUGAUAUUCAUGUGUUCAACCGUGAGUAUCGGUGAAAAUCGUCGUUGGUAAUUUUGUCACCACAUAAAAAUCGGUCGUACAUCGUAAUUUGGAGAACUGGAGCACGGACCUAUAAUCGAACGAACCUCAUCAAAGAGAGGAUGAACAUGUCGUGGAGUUUUUGUCCAGGAUCGGAAUUGCAGAGUAUAAUAUUAACGAAACUGGUGUUCAUACAUGGGAGUGUUAAAAUGAUUUUCUGAAUUUCACACAAAACCAGUCUUGUGUAGCAACGCCGCAAAAAUUGACUACCAGCUUCUGAUAUUCGAAUCACCAGGACGAAUACGUCGUCGUCAACAAAGUCCAGGUCGAGUUCUAUCCUUUCUUUGCCAACUGGAGUCGUAAAAUAAUCGAAGCAAAAAUAAUUCAAAAGGCGAUCAAAAGACGCGAGAGAUUUCUCGAUAAGAAAACAGUGAGGAUUCGUGCACCUGCAUUAAGAUAACCGUUGCAAAGAAAGAACCAGAAUCUAAAUCAAAAGAAAUAAAAAAAAAAAAAGAAAAUUCCAACAUACACAUACGUACACAGUGCGGACGAGAAUAGAAGUGUCCCAUAUACUCGCGUGUGACCUGUUUUUCAUCCUUUUUUUCUUUUAGUUUUUCCAAUCAAUGUUGAGUAGGCUAGUGGCUCGUCCUUUCGAAGGGCGAUCCUUGCCCAGCUGCAAAGUAAUCGGUGAUCGACCUGCUACUACCGCUGCAGUGGUGCUUUUGUUCAGUUGAUUUCAAUCUAUAAAUAAAACAAAUAAGUGAAUAUAUACGCAUACUGCAUAUACAUUUUUUUCAAUUUUAAUUUACUUUUCUUUAUACUUCCCUCUUCAUUCUUCUAUUAAUUUGUUUAUACGUUAUUAUGCAUAUACUUAUAACAAACGACUGUAAUGAGAAGACAUGUUAAUUUUGUAAUUUUAAUUUCUUAGUUCGCUUUUUCAGCUUUUUUAGUUUUUGUUCUUUUGCUCCCCUGUUUGACCUGGUGAACGUGUUAUAACGACGCAGAGUUUGAUAUAUACAUACACUAGAAUGGCAUAUGUGCGUCGCGACGUAAACGAGAUAUAUAUACGUACGUAUAUAUAAUAUAUAUAAAAUUGUACAUGUGUGGUGUGUGCAGUAGGAGGAUUCAUUCAGUAUAACGUUUUAUACCGACUAUUGAUCUGACGUUUCGCCGCCAAAGAGAGGAUUUAUUAUUUGUCCCUCCAGUAUUACAUAUACGGAGUUCAGAGUUUUACACACCUAAUUUUCUUCUUCGGGGAACGAGACAAAAAAUUAAAUAAACAAAUGAUAAUGAGAGUAUGUAGAAUGAAAAAAAUUUAGUACAUUUGUUGAGACGUUAUCAAUAUCUCUAUACAUACCUAUAAUACAUAUAGUGUGGUUGCAAAGGUGUGCAUCUUGCCUUUUAUAUAUGCAUAUAUAAUGAAAAAUUAUUAUCAUUAGAACAAUUUAUAUAAAAAAGAAGAAUACGAAAACAAGAAAACAGGUGGUAAAUAAUGCACAAACCGCACCACAUUCUGUGAUCAUGAUUUGUUAUAAUAACGAUACGAACUACGCCUGCAUUGGUAAUUAUCCCCAAUUAUCUAAGGACUAUAAAUUCAUCGGCAAAAAACGUGAUCGUGAUUUUGAUUCCACGGAGUAUAUUAACAUUGCUAAUAUCAAUAAUAAUAAUUAUUACAAUAAAACCAACAACAACAACAAUAACAAUAAAAAUAAUUCUAAUAGUGAGGCUCGUCAUAGUCCCUUUGGCCAAGAAACGCUGUGCGAAACUGCAUCAGGGGAUCAAGCUAUAAUAAUAAUAAUAAUAAAGUUUUUCAAAAACUUCAACCAUAAAAGUUUUUUAAACAAAAUAAUAAAUACUAAUUGUCAACCUUAUAGGCUACGCGAUCCUAUAGGAUUAUCAUUACUAUCAUGUACAACUAUAUACUUUACAAAUUAUACAAGAUUAACAAAAAAUUAUAACACACGUUGUUCAAUACCUCGGAGUAUCACCGAUAACAAUAACAACAGCAGCAAGAACAACAAAAACAACAACAAUAACAACAAUAACAGUUAUAGUAAUAAUAGUGAAUCUUCGUUAUCAUGCAUGGGAUUAUUUGAGACUAGUUUAAAGGUGUAUUUAGAAAAAUCGGACCUCGAUUUGACGAUAAUAUUAAUAGUAAUAAUUUUAGGAAUAAUUGAAAAAAUAAUAACAAAUCCCUUAGAUAUCGUCCUGAGCUCGCUUUCGCGUCCGGGGGGUCGCUAAUUUUGGCUCCUCGGUGGCGGAUGACUCGACCGAAGAAGAGUUUUCGCCCCGUAGUUGUAGUCAACGCCCCAGGAGUUUCGACGCCCCUGGAGGUUGAAUCGGAGAAUCGGUUGAAUAUAAAGCCGGGACAUAACAAUAACAAUAACAACAAUAAUAAUAAUAAUAAUAAUAAUAAUAAUGAUAACGAUAACGAUAACGAUACAAAUGACGAUGUAAUUGGUAAACACAUUAAGAGACCAUUUUUCACCCUUAAAAUAAUAAAAAUAGUACUAUUAAUUAUAAUAACAAUAUUAAAGAGAACAAGAACAAUAAUAAUAAAGAUAGAUAGUAAGGUUUUCAUUUGGAUUAUAACGAGAGGAUUUAAAAAAACGGAGGUGGACUGGGUUACGAGCGACGAAUCAGCCACCCCGUGAUGGCGGACCUUCCAGACAUGUCUCACCUAACUCCAGAAGAACGGCGCAUCAUCGAGAGCGUCAUGAUGCGCCAGAAGCAAGAGGAAGAACGUGAAAAUGAGAUUAUGAGGAGGAAACAGGACGAAGUCCAGGUCCUUGAAGAGACUAUACGGGCGCGGUCAGAGCAACAUAAGAAGGCCGGGGUGGAGCUUGAUGCCACCUGCCACAUCUGCCUUAAAACAAAGUUCGCCGAUGGCGUUGGCCACAUCUGCAACUACUGCAACAUCCGGUGCUGCGCACGAUGUGGAGGAAAAGUUACCCUCCGUUCCAACAAGGUAAUAUGGGUCUGCAUACUGUGCCGAAAGAAACAGGAAUUGUUAUCGAAGACCGGACAAUGGAUGACGAAGUCUGGUCUCGGUGCAGCGGACACCGCUAUGCUUCGGCGAAUGCAGGAGGACAUGCAGGGCGUUGGAUUAUUACCGGGUCAUCAAGAGCAAACGCAGGAUAAAAGGCCGAAACUCGAGCGGGCUCACAGCGCUGCUGAAAAAGAGAAUCUUCCGCUUUUACAACAGAGCGGUAGCAUUCUCAGAAGACAAUACUCUCAGCAGGAGCAGGUACCCGCCCGUCGGAUAUCGAUGAGUGACAGCGGCGUUGAGAUGUCGGUUUCACCUCAUUCAAGGUCUUUGCCGACACCUCACGUCGUCGUCGCUUCUUACGGGAUGCAGCAGACCCCCAGACACCCGGAUGCCUUUCCCGACGACGAUCCGAGUCUGUACAGAGGAGAGCUCGACGGUCUCAUGCGACAGCACGCCCAGACCUAUCAGAGACAGCGACAAAUAUAUCAGGAGCUGAACUCCGAGCUGGUAAUGGCUUACGGUCACCCCGCCGCGGUCGAACCUUCUUCGAGGGUUCAGGUGCAUCCGUCGCAACAGCAUCCAACUCAUAUAUCGCAUCAUCAAAUUCCCCCCAAUCAUCCCGGAGUUCAAGGAGGUGGUCAGGGUGGUCAGGGCGGCAUUCAAACCCAGAGGAGUUUUAGCAGCAGCGAAGAGGAGCUCAGAAGCACACCGGAGUGUGCGAGCGACGAACCGGACGAGUCAGAGAAGGGGAAGGGGUACAGCUACGACACGGGAGGACCGACCUCCCUUUCCAGGGGUGUGAGAAGGUUCGGACCACACAAUGGACACGUAAGGACAACAACGACUACCAUUGAUCACAACGGUCACCAUCCCCCUAGAGAACCGCGGAAAGAAGAGAGCACGCUCGUAAGAAGAAGCUUCAGGAGAAGCGCCGCCGAUGAAUUCAGGAGCGCUGAUAGCAGAAGGUUUACUGAGAGGAGGGGGAAAAAGACGGUUCGUUUUGACGGUGGCACAAACGUCGUUGGUCUUCACGAGGAGGAAUGGUCAUGGGAGGCUGAUAGACAGGGAAGUCAGGAUAGUGCGACUAAAGAUUCUGGAAUCGACACAUCCAGUACUUUUACAAGUAGCGAAGACAGCAAUCGUGGAGAUCUGCCCAAGCACCCCUUACCCUGGCAGGUGAGCAACGAUGGUCAAAAAAUGAUAGGUCACAUGACACUGAGGAAGUCCCAAGGUGCUGGUAAUUCAGGAAGCAGCAGCAGCAUCCUGGGCCUCAAGGUUGUCGGAGGAAAACUAUUGGAGAACGGUUCCCGAGGGGCGUUGAUCGAGAAGGUAAAAAAGGGGAGCACCGCGGACCUUGAGGGACAACUAAGACCCGGAGACGAGGUCAUCGAGUGGAACGGAAGAUCCCUUCAGGGGAAGAGCUUUCAGGAGGUAUACGACAUCAUAGCGGAGUCCAGGCAGGAACCGCAGGUCGAAUUAAUUGUAUCGAGGAGCCUGAAUCCCUCGACAAGCGUACCGAUAGCUACCGCUAUGACACCCAACGUCCCGUCGACCGCCGCAGCUAAAAGAGGAGUCGCUCAGGCACAGUGGAGGCAAAAACACGACCCGAAUUCCGGUACCGGACAACAAACGCAUCACCACAAAGAAUUGUACGAUUCAAGGCGAGAAAAACCUUCGGUGUUGGUAACUUCACCAGGUUCCCCAGAUCUUCAUGCCCAGGGUAGAAGUAGACACGGAAGACACCCCGGUGGAAACGCAAACGUUGGUGGAAGAUUCCAAGUCAAACUUGGCUUCGAUACUGCCGGUUUACAAUUAAUAGUUACCCUUGUUUGUGCCUCGGAAUUAACACCAAGGGGAAAUGGACAACCCAGAAAUCCAUACGCAAAAAUAUUUCUACUGCCGGAUAAAAGUGAGAAGUCUAAACGGAGAACGAAAACAUUGGCGAACACAAACGACCCUAAGUGGAACCAGACUUUUGUUUAUAGUGGCGUCAGGAGAUCAGAACUCAGGCAGAGAGCAUUAGAAGUUACAGUCUGGGACUACGUCAGGUACGGUGCGAACGAUUUUCUCGGUGAGGCCAUACUUGAAUUGGAGGUUUCAGCUUUGGACCAAGAGCCUGAAUGGCAUUACCUGGUAGCUCAUGAAUCGGAGCAGCACAGGCACGCAGGACGUUAUCAGGACCAUACGGACGACAUGGUGACGACACCGGUGGACUGUCACUUGAGUCCACCAUCGACCACGUCCAGAUUAAGCGAUUCCGAUACGUCGGAAUGCGACAUAACGGACUGUGACGGUUCCAGAGAGCAGAGAAGAACAGCUGACGGAGCCAGUAUCAGCAGCAUAGGAAGUUCUUCUAGGUUUCAUAAUAUGUCGUCAGUUUAUAAGCGCCACUAUUCCAGCCCCCCGCCUGAGAGGGAACUCAGCGUCGAAGGAGAGCACAGAAGUCGACGGGACAUGUCACCUCAAGGCCACAAACGAGCCGCCCUUAUGCUCUCCAGGGACCAACAACCCGCAUCGAUAUCCGACUAUCACCAGUACCGAAAGGAUGACACUCACGGUAGGGGUGCUCUGGGAAGUAGAUCUCAUAGUGCAGCACCGAUGGAUUCGCCUAGUGUUCACUACAAAGGUCGUUCGCAAAGUCCAACCGGACAUCACAGAUCUUUAUCUCCUCCCGAACACAGGACGGCACCAUAUUCGCACGGGUACCCUCCUAGGUUUAGCUCGAGAUCAGCGACCGCGACGCCGACCGGUUCGCCUAAAAAAAGGCAGCUCCCACAAAUUCCCGCUAAUCUUCACGCGGCUCUGAAGGAAAGGGUGACUCAGGACCUCGAGGAGAGGACGAGGUUCAUAAAACACAGGACGAGACAAGUGCACACGACUUAUAGAAGCACGGGGAUGGGAGGGUGGGAAAGACACUACAGUGGCCUUUCCGAUUCCGAUUUGCCAUCGAUGCGACACGAUCCGCUCGCCAUAAGCCACGCGCAUCCCCACAGGAUCCACAGACCUCGCAGAGGACACUUGAGUCCGGACAAAGACGUCCUCGGGGAUUUCGGUGACUCCGAUAUGGAGAGCAUAGCGUCGGUCACGAGCAGCGCGUUGAGCACACAGUCGGAAAGACCGCGAGGCUCCAGAACAAGAAUCCCAACAGUUAAAAACGUUUUUAUACCCGGUGUCAUUUCUCCCGCCGCCCCACCCCCUAGGCGCAAUAGGCGCAGGCACAGGCUUAGGGUACCUUGUAGCGAAUGUCACUGCCCCCAAAACAACCCCACAAAAUCCAGACCAACCCUGAAGCACAGCCAGACCCUCGACCCAGCCACCUUGAGCAACCGGUUCCCGAUACAUCCACUAGUACGGAGCAAAUCCGCAGUCGUUCGAUCGCUGUACAAGAAGAUGAAGACACCGUUUACGAGGUCUAGAACAGUGGACGAAAAUUUACUGCGAUAUUAUAGCCCUGAAACGAGCGAGUACAGCGUUACUCCUGGCUACAUGUUACGUCCUGAAAAUCUUGGGAUCAAUUCCCGUAGAAGGAUACCGGAAAUAUACGUCGAGGACUGUCUGAAGGUCGACUUCGACAACGACCUCAUCGACAGAUUCAAGGGGAACAGACUCCCGGUGUAUUCCAGACUGUCGUCCAGACUGACAAAACCGGCCAAAGUGUUUCCCAGGUCUAGAAUUUCCCUCGGGAACGUUAUGCCCGAUUGGACUACGUCAAGGCCGUCGCCAAGAUUCGGUACAAUGCCACGAACCAAAAGUUGCGAAUACGAAUCGAUAUCCGACGAUCAUUUACUCGGCGCCAGAAGAUUCCUGCCACAGAGAGCUAAAAGCUUCGAGUACGAGUCACUACCUCAGAGUAUAUUUAGCGACGACAGUCUUAGAACCGCCAGGAGGAAACUGAAGAGAAAUUUGUCCAUGAAUGACUCCGGGUACGAUGAUAACAUCGAGGCUCUUCAGGACCAGAGCAAACCGUACUACGAUGUCAAUGCCGAGAACAAGUCGUACCCUAGGCAAAACAUGUCCACCGGCGGGACGUCUUAUUACGGUUACGACAGCGAACUCAGUAGCGCUGAAACGGAAAUAAAUCUGUCUUCCAGUUUUGAUAGACAAAGCUUAGAGUCUGUGAUUGAAAUUAAACCGUAUAACAAUGCGCCGAGGAUAUUCGUUGACGAGGAGCACGAAAGUCUACUUCGUAAUAUCAGCAGAGACGACGCCGGUAAACGGAAAUACGAUUAUUCUGAACUGCCGUUCGGAACAAGCGUUCAAAGAACUCCAGAAAAACGACCGAAGGCUUCCGACUAUUCGGAUCAUCGGAGGAUGUCCAGACUCUCCAGGGAUCCUUCAAGGGAACACAUUUAUUGCAGCAUAGACGACGAGCUGGUGUCCGACGAAAAUCGUCUCGAGAGUUUCGCGGUAAGCGAUGAUCGACGGAGAGCGAGAACCAAAAGCAACGACUCGUACCUCGACUAUGACAAGCUUUACGACAGGUGCAGGAUUUGUCAAAGAAGCGAAAUGUGGGAUCCGGAAUCCGAAUAUUUUUACUCGCCGCAAAGCGUACGAUCCAACAGCGACGAUAUUGAGUACAGAUUCACCGACUACGACGAAGAACGUUUUCACUCUCACCACGGAUCCGAUGAUGCGAAUAUCGUUGAUCACACUAGAUCGAUUGACGAAACGAGAAGACAAAGUUUAUCGGUACCCAGUCUUAGGGAAAGUAAGAGAUUAACCGCUAGGGCAGAAUCGUCUCCGCAGUUGCACUCGGAUGACGAUUUCGGGUCUACCGAGACAAUCGGUAACAUUGCGAAUGAAUCGGAUCGUGUGAACAAUGAACGUUGGAUGCGACGCGACGAUAAUCGUGGUUCCAAGUCUGCGCCUGAUUUCCUCUACUCCGAGGAUGAGGAUUUUGGAUCUCGUGAAACGGUCGUUAGUAAAUAUUUCGAUGGAAACGAAAGACGUCGGAGAAAUAGUAGCUGUCCCGAAAGCAGGGACUUGAUUAGUUUCGUUGAUAGAAAUCAUCAUCAUCAGCAGCUAGUCGGUUCUCAGGGUAGCAAAAGAAACGUCGCCAUAAGUGACACUCUGGAGUACUACGAGUAUUCAAUGGAAAGUGAAAGUCAGUGUAGCGAAACCUGCGGAUUUGGCCCGUCAGCAUCAAAAAAAACUUCAGCAGCUGACAAUAGAAGAGUAUCGAACGCAGCCCCGCGCGUAAAUUCGGCCUUGAAUACCACCAUAUCCCAAACCCAGGACCCAACCCCCCCCAGUAUUGCUAAUUCAAUUGUCUUUGAUUCCCUUUCCGCCAACUCCGACACUGCUAAAAACGCUCGGGCCGUAUGCAACAACAACAACAACAACAACAACAACAACGACGAUAACGAAACGAUCAACACGACAUCGCGCAAUGAUCAACAUUCGUCGAAACACCUCGCCUCGGGAUCACCUCGGUCUAAAACCGACAACAACGACUACGAUCAUCGCGAAACAACUUCGACCUCGUCUUCUCGACGUCCUCGUGUCACCGCGGAUCCAUCAAACUUCGAAAACGAUCAACACCGACGGUCGUCAUCGAUGCCCGAAAGCAGAGAGUACCCGUCGAACGCCUACGAGGGUUCAUCGAGGCACGGAAUGUCCGGCAAUGGGCAUUCCUCGAAAAGAGGACAGUUCACGAGGAGUUUGAGUAACGCAGAUGUACCUCCGGACGAAAAAGUUGUAAAUUUUCUGUCACCAGACGGUAGCCUGAGCGAUACAGCCGUGAGUUUGCACGUUGAGGACACUUCGAUACGUGGUAGAAAAAGUUCACCCGGUAGUAAAAGUGGUAGCGGAAGUAGCAGCGGCGGCGGUAGCGCUGUUCAAUAUCAAUCCAGUCUAGGGAAAAAGAGCAUCAGUACCAGCCAACUGUCAGCGACAGAGAGUGGCGGACUCGGUUCUGGCGGAGGAUUAAGUCGCAAGAGAAACAGUACACCAAGCAGCAUUCAACGCUCCCAGGAGGUUGUCCCCCACUACCAGCGAUUAUGCUCUUCUUCUUCUUCGAGGUCCGCUGCUGCUGCUGCCGCUGCUCACGCGGCCUCAUCCGUAUCCAGUGACAUCGCGGGGAGCCUCAACUCAAUCUCUAGUUCCGAAGGAAGCUCCUGGUCGCCUAGCCUUCGAAUGGCGGGUGAAGGGGGUCAACUCAGUGAUUUCAUCGGGGGCUUAGGACCGGGACAACUUGUCGGUCGUCAAGUACUUGGCGCCCCUUCUCUUGGAGAAAUUCAACUGUCGAUGUGCUUCACGAAAGGAUAUUUGGAAGUUGAAGUUAUCAGAGCGAGGGACCUUCAAGGACGACAGGGGAACAAGGUUAUACCAGCGCCCUACGUCAAGGUCUAUCUCGUCAGCGGAAAGAAAUGUAUAGCAAAAGCGAAAACUGCAACCGCAAGAAAAACGCUUGAACCACUUUAUCAACAGCAAUUAGCGUUCAGAGAAAAUUUCCAAAACUGUAUCCUACAGGUUACCGUAUGGGGCGACUACGGCCGAAUAGAGGGCAAAAAAGUGUUCAUGGGUGUGGCACAGAUAAUGUUGGACGAUCUGGACCUGUCGAACAUUGUGAUCGGGUGGUACAAGCUAUUCGGAACUACCUCCCUGGUCAGUGGACCUCCCUCUCUCGGGUUGUCCCGUCGUUCCUCAGCCGCAUCCCUCGAUUCCUUGAAACUCUGAAGUUUGUUAUGAGGGGCGACGCGUCCCUCUGUCUAAAUGAGUAGAGUAUCUCGAGAAGCAAAGAUGAUUCGCGAUCGUUCCAUAUCGAAUCCCACCAAUUCUAUAGGAUGUACAACUUGUGGGUGAAAUAGGCGGACCUCUGAGAACCCUUGAAAAUAAUUUUCAUCGUGGGAUUAUUUUUUCAAUCUCAUGUAAAAUUAGAUAUUACGGAUAUCGAUUGAUUCCAUUCAUCAGAUUUUGAAAUGAGGUUCGUAGAUGUGUGACUCGAGGGCUAACACGAAGACAAAAAAUAAUCCAUGUAUAACGUGAUAUAGAUUAAAAUCCAUAUCAUCUAUUAUCGAUAGCUCACGCGAUAGUUUCUGCAUAAAGAUAAAGUAAACUCAUGUAUCGAAGAGUGAGAGACUUUCAAUUACUGACAACUUUCACGCGACUCGUUCUGAUUAUCAAGCCUUUCCUUCUCCCGGCACUUAUUACCAUACCUUUUCAACCAAAUCAAAACGAAAGAACACAAAAUACUGAAUGAAACCAAAGAUGCUAAUUCAAAUUAAUAACAAUAAUAAGACUAAUACUAAUAAAAAAAAAAAGAUUGACAGUGAAAGCAUUCAUGCUAUCUGAACUAUUUUCCCCGAACGAAAACCGAACCGGAAAAAAGUACGAGUGUGAGGAGAUGAUGAAUAGAUUGAUUGACGGCUCUGAAUACGGUAAAAGCAAUACAAAAAAAAUCAGAUCACCGUAAGAGAUCAAACAAAAGAAAGAUCAAAAAGAAAUAAUUUGACACAAAGCAAAAACAAAACAAUCAAAAUUAUCAAAAAUGGAAAAAUGAAACACAGAGAAAAAAAAGAUAAUGUUAAAAUAAUAAUGUAAGAAAACAAACAAAAAAAAAAGAAAUAAAAUGAACAUGAAUGUAAGAAAAUUAAAAAAAAAAGGGGAGAAUCAUACUAGAAAAGUGUAAGUGAUGGGUCUCCUAGACACUUCUAGUACAUCACAUAUCAUGUACUGCAUAUCACAUCGGCUAUACCACUUAUACAUACCUUAGUCUGUAUGUAAUGUAUGUAUUGCCUGGCGUAGCAAAAUAGAGAAACCUGCAAUGCCCCUGAAAAACAGCGCCAAAUAGCUAAAAUCAUAGUGAAACCUGCAAGAAAGUGGAUAUUUUAUCAUAAAAGAUC
Athalia rosae (coleseed sawfly) is the source of this 11818-nucleotide RNA transcript. It is a transcript of the gene named regulating synaptic membrane exocytosis protein 2, with no coding region annotated. NCBI's taxonomy places the organism in Eukaryota, Metazoa, Arthropoda, Insecta, Hymenoptera, Athaliidae. The transcript is spliced from 25 exons. The record is from RefSeq and is a predicted model, not a curated record.